UUGAGCGGAGAUAUAUGGAGCUUGCUUUAUAUAACUUAGCAGCGAACGGGUGAGUAACACGUAGAUAAUCUAUCCUAUACUGGGGGAUAGCCCGAUGAAAGUUGGAUUAAUACCGCAUAUAGCUAUAUAGUUGCAUGAUUAUGUAGUGAAAGAUUUAUUGGUAUAGGAGGAGUCUGCGGCACAUUAGCUAGUAGGUGAAGUAAAGGCUUACCUAGGCGACGAUGUGUAGCCGGUCUGAGAGGAUGAACGGCCACAAUGGAACUGAGACACGGUCCAUACUCCUACGGGAGGCAGCAGUGGGGAAUAUUGCACAAUGGGGGAAACCCUGAUGCAGCAACGCCGCGUGAGUGAAGAAGGUUUUCGGAUUGUAAAGCUCUGUUAGCAGGGAAGAGGAAGGACGGUACCUGCAGAGGAAGCCACGGCUAACUACGUGCCAGCAGCCGCGGUAAUACGUAGGUGGCAAGCGUUGUUCGGAAUAACUGGGCGUAAAGGAUGCGUAGGCGGUUAAACAAGUUAUAUGUUAAAUAUAUAGGCUUAACCUGUAGAAAGCAUAUAAAACUGUUUAACUAGAGUGCAGGAGAGGUAAGUGGAAUUCCUAGUGGUAGCGGUGAAAUGCGUAGAGAUUAGGAAGAACACCAGUGGCGAAGGCGACUUACUGGACUGUAACUGACGCUGAGGCAUGAGAGCAUGGGGAGCAAACAGGAUUAGAUACCCUGGUAGUCCAUGCUGUAAACGAUGGGUACUA
RNAcentral lists this ribosomal RNA (745 nucleotides) under uncultured bacterium. RNAcentral's name for it is "bacterial SSU rRNA". It matches the Rfam family "Bacterial small subunit ribosomal RNA", at positions 62 to 818 of the family's 1533-position model. The record is from RNAcentral.